This 1451-nucleotide long non-coding RNA is filed under the name Phasianus colchicus (ring-necked pheasant). RNAcentral describes it as "lncRNA (ENSPCLG00000021124.1)". Lineage: Eukaryota; Metazoa; Chordata; Aves; Galliformes; Phasianidae. The record is from RNAcentral.
AUUCUGUGUGAUUUAUGCAGCGAAUUUCUUGCUCUUGUAAUAAAAACACGGACAGAGAAGUUGGCAGCAGGACCAUGGCUCAAUAAACCAAGAGAACAAAAAUCUCCUACAACACAAUCAGGAAAGUGAUUUUUUUUUUUCCUCCACAGCUCGUUUUGUGAGGAGAAAUUGAUCUGUCUAAUCUCUUAUCUGUGGCUAUGAAAUUGUAUUUCCGUCUUAAUAGGCCUACAAAUGUUACAGAUGAAUAGCUCAUAGACGUGCUGCAAGCAACAGGAAUACUGAAGUGGAGCCUGGAUUUGCUCAGUUUCAUCUGUGGGAUCCAACAGGCAGAAGCACAAGGAGCCACAGCCGACUUUGGACCCCUCCAUGGGGACCCAGCCCAGAGUGGUAUUUUCACCCAGUUCCUCCUUCAGUCAGGCUGGGGAUGUCUCUGAAGGAGCUGCGUUCGGUUGCAAGCGUUAGCUCUGUUCUUAAAUAUUUGGAUUGCAAAGAUGUGAACUGACACUGCUCUUUUAAAGCUAAAUUCCCCAUCUUCUAUCUGACAGAUGCUGUCUCAUCUGCCGGCGUCUCCACACGAGCGCGACGUGCCGACGUGAAGUGCUCCCAGCUGUGUCCGUGCAUCAGAAUGACAACAGCCCAUCUCUCUCCACACAGCCCAUCUGUUAAUGUAAAUCUGGCGACACUCCGCUUCAUUUGUCUCCAUUGUGCCCAGAGCAGCAAAGCCAGUUCAGAAAGUGUUGUGUUUGCAGCCCCUGGCUUUGGCAUUCCGUUAUCAGCCAUGGGCAGGAGGACUUUCCCAACAGGUCUCUGUCUGGGUGUCAGCAGAGAGGUGACAGAGGGACGUGGCCUCGGGGUGCCCUGCGCUCCAUCCGUGCACCUGCAUCGCGUCGGCGCCGCUCGAUCCGAACCGCCACUGUGUUUACAGAUUGCUCUGUAUGCAGAGCAGCCUCCGCCGGCUCCCAUUACCGCUGGAUAAACACUGCUUGCUGCAAAACAUGACUUUGAGCGAUGACAGGAAAACGCUCUGUGUUGUCACGCAGAUAAAAGCACGGCGUCCUCGGCACAAAGCAGCCGCCGCCGCGACAAAGCAGCGCGGUUUGUCUUGUUGGUGCUGGAGAGGGGUUUGACGUGGAGCCUGGAGGCGCCUCCAAAGGGAAACGUCCCAAAGGCAACUUUAUCGCGGGCUGAAAAGUACAAAAAUAAGGUUUUUCGGGGGUGUCCAUCCAAAAUCAUGGCUGUUUCAGGAGGAGUUUGCUCUCCCCAAAAUACAACCGCAGGGCAGCAACUCCUGUGCCACAAAUCCAUCUCCAUCAUAGAGAGGGAACUGUGCAAAUAACUGUCAUCUGCAGACACGGGCUUUAUCUCCUCUGUCUGUGUUUUAAUACAGGAAAUAUCACCUGCUCCUCCAGCUCCUUUCAUAAACAGAGAAUUUAUCUGUGAGCAAGCUAACC